Molecule: ribosomal RNA, 254 nt
Filed under: uncultured bacterium
Lineage: Bacteria
Description: partial 16S ribosomal RNA
Rfam family: Bacterial small subunit ribosomal RNA
Source: RNAcentral
UACGGAGGGUGCAAGCGUUAUCCGGAAUCACUGGGUUUAAAGGGUGCGUAGGCGGUUUGAUAAGUCAGUUGUGAAAAACCCCGGCUUAACCGGCGGUCGUGCGAUUGAUACUGUCAAACUUGAAUCAGGUUGAGGUAGGCGGAAUGUGGCAUGUAGCGGUGAAAUGCAUAGAUAUGCCAUAGAACACCGAUUGCGAAGGCAGCUUGCUGGGCCUAGAUUGACGCGGAGGCACGAAAGCGUGGGGAGCAAACAGG